CUCUGCAACACAGAAUGAAAGUAAAAAUCAAAUCUCAAGUAAAGCCAAGAAAUGUCUCUGUUUUUAGGAGACAAUCACAUCAUCUGUGGAAAAUAAAUAAUAUUUCCUGAGACUUUACUGCAUUUCUUUUACUUCACCUUUUCAGGUCAGCAAGAAGCAUCAACCUAACACAAGGCAUGUUUGCAAGAAACAUCUGCAUCAAGCUGUUUAGUCUUGGAAGAAUCUACAGAAAAUGCUUUGAACCAUUGAUAUAAUUCAAAUCAAAAAGAACUUACUUCAGCAUAACAUCGGAUUCCCUUACAAUUUCUGCAAACUUGUCCUUCUGUAAGCCUUGUUCAAUGAGUAGUGCAUGAGAUUUAUGGUACCUAGAACAUAAAUUAAAAAAAUGGGUUGAAUGUU
Molecule: non-coding RNA, 399 nt
Organism: Taeniopygia guttata (zebra finch)
Lineage: Eukaryota; Metazoa; Chordata; Aves; Passeriformes; Estrildidae
Source: RefSeq, a predicted model, not a curated record